Molecule: ribosomal RNA, 590 nt
Filed under: uncultured bacterium
Lineage: Bacteria
Description: partial 16S ribosomal RNA
Rfam family: Bacterial small subunit ribosomal RNA
Source: RNAcentral
UGGGGAAUUUUGGACAAUGGGCGAAAGCCUGAUCCAGCAAUGCCGCGUGUGUGAAGAAGGCCUUCGGGUUGUAAAGCACUUUUGUCCGGAAAGAAAUCCUUGGCUCUAAUACAGUCGGGGGAUGACGGUACCGGAAGAAUAAGCACCGGCUAACUACGUGCCAGCAGCCGCGGUAAUACGUAGGGUGCAAGCGUUAAUCGGAAUUACUGGGCGUAAAGCGUGCGCAGGCGGUUUGCUAAGACCGAUGUGAAAUCCCCGGGCUCAACCUGGGAACUGCAUUGGUGACUGGCAGGCUAGAGUAUGGCAGAGGGGGGUAGAAUUCCGCGUGUAGCAGUGAAAUGCGUAGAGAUGUGGAGGAAUACCGAUGGCGAAGGCAGCCCCCCUGGGGCCAAAUACUGACGCUCAUGCACGAAAGCGUGGGGGAGCAAACAGGAUUAGAUACCCUGGUAGUCCACGCCCUAAACGAUGUCAACUAGUUGUUGGGGAUUCAUUUUCCUUAGUAACGUAGCUAACGCGUGAAGUUGACCGCCUGGGGAGUACGGUCGCAAGAUUAAAACUCAAAGGAAUUGACGGGGUCAUAGCUGUUUCCU